RNAcentral lists this ribosomal RNA (430 nucleotides) under uncultured Alphaproteobacteria bacterium. Its description in RNAcentral is "bacterial SSU rRNA". It matches the Rfam family "Bacterial small subunit ribosomal RNA", at positions 958 to 1385 of the family's 1533-position model. Lineage: Bacteria; Pseudomonadati; Pseudomonadota; Alphaproteobacteria. The record is from RNAcentral.
AACGCGAAGAACCUUACCAGCCCUUGACAUCCCGGUCGCGGGAACCAGAGAUGGAUCCCUUCAGUUCGGCUGGACCGGAGACAGGUGCUGCAUGGCUGUCGUCAGCUCGUGUCGUGAGAUGUUGGGUUAAGUCCCGCAACGAGCGCAACCCUCGCCCUUAGUUGCCAUCAUUCAGUUGGGCACUCUAAGGGGACUGCCGGUGAUAAGCCGCGAGGAAGGUGGGGAUGACGUCAAGUCCUCAUGGCCCUUACGGGCUGGGCUACACACGUGCUACAAUGGCGGUGACAGUGGGACGCAAUGGAGCAAUCCUGCGCAAAUCUCAAAAAGCCGUCUCAGUUCGGAUUGUGCUCUGCAACUCGAGCACAUGAAGUUGGAAUCGCUAGUAAUCGCAGAUCAGCACGCUGCGGUGAAUACGUUCCCGGGCCUUGUA